This 77-nucleotide transfer RNA is filed under the name Nitrococcus mobilis. RNAcentral's name for it is "tRNA-Arg". It matches the Rfam family "tRNA". Rfam says of the family: Transfer RNA (tRNA) molecules are approximately 80 nucleotides in length. Their secondary structure includes four short double-helical elements and three loops (D, anti-codon, and T loops). The record is from RNAcentral. RNAcentral also lists the same sequence under 1 other name. Lineage: Bacteria; Pseudomonadati; Pseudomonadota; Gammaproteobacteria; Chromatiales; Ectothiorhodospiraceae.
GCCCCGGUAGCUCAGUCGGAUAGAGCGAUCGCCUCCUAAGCGAUAGGUCGCAGGUUCGAAUCCUGCCCGGGGCACCA